This 557-nucleotide ribosomal RNA is filed under the name Colletotrichum gloeosporioides. Its description in RNAcentral is "eukaryotic LSU rRNA". The stretch from base 205 to 358 matches the Rfam family "5.8S ribosomal RNA". The record is from RNAcentral. Lineage: Eukaryota; Fungi; Ascomycota; Sordariomycetes; Glomerellales; Glomerellaceae.
UCUCCGUUGGUGAACCAGCGGAGGGAUCAUUACUGAGUUUACGCUCUAUAACCCUUUGUGAACAUACCUAUAACUGUUGCUUCGGCGGGUAGGGUCUCCGCGACCCUCCCGGCCUCCCGCCUCCGGGCGGGUCGGCGCCCGCCGGAGGAUAACCAAACUCUGAUUUAACGACGUUUCUUCUGAGUGGUACAAGCAAAUAAUCAAAACUUUUAACAACGGAUCUCUUGGUUCUGGCAUCGAUGAAGAACGCAGCGAAAUGCGAUAAGUAAUGUGAAUUGCAGAAUUCAGUGAAUCAUCGAAUCUUUGAACGCACAUUGCGCCCGCCAGCAUUCUGGCGGGCAUGCCUGUUCGAGCGUCAUUUCAACCCUCAAGCUCUGCUUGGUGUUGGGGCCCUACAGCUGAUGUAGGCCCUCAAAGGUAGUGGCGGACCCUCCCGGAGCCUCCUUUGCGUAGUAACUUUACGUCUCGCACUGGGAUCCGGAGGGACUCUUGCCGUAAAACCCCCCAAUUUUCCAAAGGUUGACCUCGGAUCAGGUAGGAAUACCCGCUGAACUUAA